Molecule: ribosomal RNA, 590 nt
Filed under: uncultured bacterium
Lineage: Bacteria
Description: bacterial SSU rRNA
Rfam family: Bacterial small subunit ribosomal RNA
Source: RNAcentral
CCUACGGGAGGCAGCAGUGAGGAAUUUUCCGCAAUGGGCGAAAGCCUGACGGAGCAAUACCGCGUGAGGGAUGAAGGAUUUUGGUCUGUAAACCUCUUUUCUCAAGAAAGAAGUUCUGACGGUACUUGAGGAAUAAGCAUCGGCUAACUCCGUGCCAGCAGCCGCGGUAAUACGGGGGAUGCAAGCGUUAUCCGGAAUGAUUGGGCGUAAAGCGCCUGUAGGUUGUUUAUUAAGUCCGUUGUUAAAGCCUAGGGCUCAACCCUAGAAAAGCAAUGGAAACUAGUAGACUAGAGUAUGGCAGGGGUAGAGGGAAUUUCUAGUGUAGCGGUGAAAUGCGUAGAUAUUAGAAAGAACACCGGUGGCGAAAGCGCUCUACUGGACCAUUACUGACACUCAGAGGCGAAAGCUAGGGUAGCAAAAGGGAUUAGAUACCCCUGUAGUCCUAGCCGUAAACGAUGGAUACUAGAUGUUGUGCAUUAUGUACAGUAUCGUAGCUAACGCGUUAAGUAUCCCGCCUGGGGAGUACGCUCGCAAGGGUGAAACUCAAAGGAAUUGACGGCUGAGACCGNGCGACGACGACACGAGGAGAG